GUUAAAGACGGAAGCUGAAGUUCCCAGUCAGUGGAUUGAAAUGUCGUGGAGCGAUAUUGGUCUGGCCGGGCAUAAGUGCUGUCCUCUGAUGCAUGUCUGCCUUCGAGGUUCCUGAAGCUUCCUGUCUGCUCCCGAGGAAGCAGCUCUCAUUUGCAUUGACUUCCCACAACUUCCUCCAGGUUCCUCUGUUGGUUAGAAAUAGAAGUGACAGCCAGAGAUCAGGAAAGAACUCUGACGAGCAAGCCCAUCGUUUCCUCUGAGACAAAGAUACGAUCAGGCCGAGCAAACCCCGUGUUAACAAAAACAAAUGUGAACAUGAAACAUCUUGAUGUAAAACUUAUGCUCUCCAGCAGGCGAUCUGAAUGGCAACCUGGCGACUGUUUUCCAAACCAUAGAUCAUGGUGCUGCCACCAUCCUUGAGCCUACAGGAUGCUGGAAACGUGGAAGAAGGAACACACAAAUCCAUGGUGUUUCUCACAUUAUAAAUAAGUGAGAAAAAGAUCUACGUCAAUUGUAAAAUCGCACAUAUUCAAG
Molecule: long non-coding RNA, 534 nt
Filed under: Equus caballus (horse)
Lineage: Eukaryota; Metazoa; Chordata; Mammalia; Perissodactyla; Equidae
Description: lncRNA (ENSECAG00000058388.1)
Source: RNAcentral